Cricetulus griseus (Chinese hamster) is the source of this 285-nucleotide unclassified non-coding RNA. Its record names the gene 7SK. It matches the Rfam family "7SK RNA". From Rfam's summary of the family: 7SK was discovered as an abundant small nuclear RNA in the mid-70s but a possible function has only recently been suggested. Two independent studies have found that 7SK RNA binds the CDK9/cyclin T complex (known as elongation factor P-TEFb). P-TEFb activates transcription by phosphorylating the C-terminal domain of RNA polymerase II. Lineage: Eukaryota; Metazoa; Chordata; Mammalia; Rodentia; Cricetidae. The record is from Ensembl.
AGAAGUGAAGGCAAUAUGACUACAACUGCCACCCCAUUGAGUGACAGGGCUGAUCACUGGUCUGUUGGCUAGUGAUGUCCCUACCUCCCUCACCGCACUGUGUGCACCCCUCCCAAAGUUACACACUCAACCUCUCCCAAAAGAGAAAGAUCUCUUUGGUCAAGAGUAUACAAGUCCCUGCAUUCCUCUGCUGGAACUUUAAAGCAAGCUCUCAAAACAGGGAGUAGAAAAUCUUAUUGUCACAAUACAUAUUUACACAGUCUGACCCAUAAAAUGAUGGCUACA